GAGUUUGAUCCUGGCUCAGAUUGAACGCUGGCGGCAGGCCUAACACAUGCAAGUCGAGYRGAUGAGAGGAGCUUGCUCCUUAAUUCAGCGGCGGACGGGUGAGUAAUGCCUAGGAAUCUGCCUGGUAGUGGGGGACAACGUUUCGAAAGGAACGCUAAUACSGCAUACGUCCUACGGGAGAAAGCAGGGGACCUUCGGSCCUUGCGCUAUCAGRUGAGCSUAGGUCGGAUYAGCUASUUGGWGAGGUAAUGGCUCACCAAGGCGMCGAUCCGUWAC
RNAcentral lists this ribosomal RNA (276 nucleotides) under Pseudomonas sp. Le3-4. Its description in RNAcentral is "partial 16S ribosomal RNA". It matches the Rfam family "Bacterial small subunit ribosomal RNA", at positions 9 to 287 of the family's 1533-position model. The record is from RNAcentral. Lineage: Bacteria; Pseudomonadati; Pseudomonadota; Gammaproteobacteria; Pseudomonadales; Pseudomonadaceae.